AUGGCCCCGGUGGCUGAGAUCUGGGGCCUCACGCCGGGCUACAAGUUCAUGCCGGCCGACGAGGAGGUGAUCGAGUUCUACCUCAUCCCACGCCUGCGCGGCCAGCCCCUACCGCUGGACGGCGUCAUCAUCGACGAGGACCCACGGAGCGCGCCACCGUGGAAGCUCUUCGAGCGCAACGGGCUGGACGAGGUAGACGUGGAACAUGCGUUCUUCUUCACGUCCGGCGAGUAUGCCAAGAGCGCCAAGCGCAAGGUCCGCGCCUGCGCUGGCGGGACGUGGGUCGGGAUGAAGGUCGGCAACAAGGGGAAGCUGCGCCUCGGCGGGGAGACCUUUGCAUGGCAGGUGUACAGGAUGAACUACCAGUGGGGCGCCGGCAGGAGGACCGGCAGCACGGGGUGGGUCAUGCUCGAGUACUCCAUCGUCGCACCGGCCGACUGUGCUUCCAUCAAGGUGUGCAAGAUCUCCUUUAGCGGCUAUGGCCAGAAGCGGCAACGGGUGCCCGACGGCUAUGUCGACGACUGUCAUAGCGGCCGCGCCGCUACUCGUCCACUCGCGGCCGCACUGCCAUCUUCGACGACUAAGUGUUAUUCAGAACCCCAAGACGAAGAUGCCGGAGGGGAAGGAGAAGCAGAUUCAACUUGGACCUAUCAAGAACCCUUCACGGCGGCGCAGCAGUUUGAUGAUCAAGAUACGCAACCAUUGAUUGAUGUUGGCUGCUUGCCGGGAUUCUCGUCAACCCCCCCUGUCCCUGUGUCGGCCGUGGAUGACGGUAUGAUGCAAUCCCAGAUGUUUAGCUAUGCCGUGGCGGAAGGAGAAGCAGAGCCAACUAGGAACUAUGAAGAACUCUACACUGAGACGACGACACAGCAGUUUGAUGGUCAAGCUAUGCAACCACCUGCUGAUGUUGGCGGCUUCCCUUCGACUUCUACCGCAUCAGGCAUGGAUGAUGGCACUAUCAUGCCACUUCAGAUCGACCAAGAAACCCACUCCCCGGAGAAGUUUGUGGACUAUGGCACGGUUCCGCCGCUGACGAACCAAGAAUUCUGCAUGCCGGAGAAGUACGUCCCCAUACCGCCGGUGAUUGACCACGAAGCCGGCCCGCCACAGGAGCAGUUCUUCGACGUUGAGGAUCCGGAACUUCAAGUGCUCCUCGAGUCGUUCAGCGACUUCGCUACUGCUGGGCAAAACGAUCCUGGCUUUGGAGAUUACUUUGCGAGUGCGGGUCAAGACUAUGAUCUUAAUCACCAUGUUUUGCCCAAGAAUAGCUUCAAUCAGCACCAAGUCUUCUAG
Molecule: ribosomal RNA, 1293 nt
Filed under: Triticum aestivum (bread wheat)
Lineage: Eukaryota; Viridiplantae; Streptophyta; Magnoliopsida; Poales; Poaceae
Description: partial small subunit ribosomal RNA
Source: RNAcentral